UACGUAGGGUGCAAGCGUUGUCCGGAAUUAUUGAGCGUAAAGAGCUCGUAGGCGGUUCGUCGCGUCGGCUGUGAAAACCCGGAGCUCAACUCCGGGCCUGCAGUCGAUACGGGCGGACUUGAGUGUUGCAGGGGAGACUGGAAUUCCUGGUGUAGCGGUGAAAUGCGCAGAUAUCAGGAGGAACACCGGUGGCGAAGGCGGGUCUCUGGGCAACUACUGACGCUGAGGAGCGAAAGCGUGGGGAGCGAACAGG
RNAcentral lists this ribosomal RNA (253 nucleotides) under uncultured bacterium. RNAcentral describes it as "partial 16S ribosomal RNA". It matches the Rfam family "Bacterial small subunit ribosomal RNA", at positions 524 to 776 of the family's 1533-position model. The record is from RNAcentral.